This is a long non-coding RNA of Hibiscus syriacus, 751 nucleotides long. RefSeq lists it as uncharacterized. The transcript has 2 exons. The record is from RefSeq and is a predicted model, not a curated record. Lineage: Eukaryota; Viridiplantae; Streptophyta; Magnoliopsida; Malvales; Malvaceae.
AUUCUUAGUAUCUUCCAACUGCCAAAACUCCUAAGAUGAUUAUCAAAUUCAAGACUAAAUACACAAAGAUGGAAUCACAAAAGGGCCUGAAACCUUGUUUGGCAAUUAAAACAUUAAAGUGAUUUUUCAUAUUUAAUAUGAUUUUCCCAAAUCGAAGUCACAGACAAAAUCGGCUGAACAGUCAACAAACACUAAAACCAGUCUUCAACGAGAAAAUCCCGAUUCAAUAUCAAAGCAGACAGCAUAGCAGCAGCUCAGAAAAUUAAACAAAAAAGGCCUAAUUUCAAUUCACCAAUUCAUAAGAUUUCCUAUUAUUAAAAACCAAAUACUAAUUCUUUUCCCAAAAUUUAAACAGAACAAGUACAGUUCAACCCUAAACACUAGAUUGCCAAAAGAAACACUUCAAAAGAACAGACAAUUACCGUGGGAAAAGUGUUGCUUGUGUAAGAAAUCAGCAAACAAGUUUUACCAACGGCACCAUCACCAACAGUCACACACUUUAUAAACCUUGCAGCGCUCAUUUUCUUUUCUUUUUUGUCACUCAAAAGAAAAGUGAAAGAAAAUAAUAGACUCGGAUCUUAACACCUGAGGACAAAGCUUGAACCCCUAAAGAAAACUCCACAAGAUUACUACUUUUCUCCUUCAAUCAGUCAUCUGAGUAGCGUAUUUCCACCAAAUAGGUAUAACACUUAAAGAAAGACAAAGGGUUGAAGGAAACCAAGGCUGGAAUUAAAGAAAAAAGAGGGAAUUG